RNAcentral lists this ribosomal RNA (301 nucleotides) under uncultured bacterium. Its description in RNAcentral is "partial 16S ribosomal RNA". It matches the Rfam family "Bacterial small subunit ribosomal RNA", at positions 509 to 809 of the family's 1533-position model. The record is from RNAcentral.
CAGUCGCCGCGGUAAUGCGUAGGUGGCAAGCGUUGUCCGGAAUUAUUGGGCGUAAAGCGCGCGCAGGCGGAUCAGUCAGUCUGUCUUAAAAGUUCGGGGCUUAACCCCGUGAUGGGAUGGAAACUGCUGACCUAGAGUAUCGGAGAGGAAAGUGGAAUUCCUAGUGUAGCGGUGAAAUGCGUAGAUAUUAGGAAGAACACCAGUGGCGAAGGCGACUUUCUGGACGAAAACUGACGCUGAGGCGCGAAAGCCAGGGGAGCGAACGGGAUUAGAUACCCCAGUAGUCCCUGUCUCUUAUACA